This 407-nucleotide RNase P RNA is filed under the name Verrucomicrobiales bacterium. RNAcentral describes it as "RNase P RNA component class A". It matches the Rfam family "Bacterial RNase P class A". From Rfam's summary of the family: Ribonuclease P (RNase P) is a ubiquitous endoribonuclease, found in archaea, bacteria and eukarya as well as chloroplasts and mitochondria. The record is from RNAcentral. Lineage: Bacteria; Pseudomonadati; Verrucomicrobiota; Verrucomicrobiia; Verrucomicrobiales.
UGAGGCAGAUGACCGUUCCGUGCCCGGCCCCAAGCCGGGCGCGGAAAGGAAAGUCCGAACACCUUCAGGCAGUCCACUUGGUAGAACACCAAGGCGUCCACCGGGAAACCGGGGGAUGACGGAAAGUGUCACAGAAAACAAACCGCCCCGAGCCAGUCGAGGGGCAAGGGUGAAACGGCGGGGUAAGAGCCCACCGCCCCGAGGGUGACCGAGGGGGCAAGAAAAACCCUGGACGGUGCAAGGCCAAACAGAGGGGUGGUUGCCUGACCCUCCGCGCAAGCGGAAGCCCCUCGGGUAGGCCGCAUCCCGCUCCGGCGGGAUCCCACGGAGCAAUCCGUGGGAAGAGAAAUGGUCAUCGGCCCCGGCCCCGUGCCGGGGUUACAGAAUUCGGCUUAUCGCCUCACCCA